Molecule: transfer RNA, 71 nt
Filed under: Trichobilharzia regenti
Lineage: Eukaryota; Metazoa; Platyhelminthes; Trematoda; Strigeidida; Schistosomatidae
Rfam family: tRNA
About the family: Transfer RNA (tRNA) molecules are approximately 80 nucleotides in length. Their secondary structure includes four short double-helical elements and three loops (D, anti-codon, and T loops).
Source: Rfam by way of RNAcentral
GUGUAGGUAGUUCAGUGGUACAAUGUUUGCCAGCUAAGCAGAUAGUCCGAGUUCGACUCCCAACCGACACA